AUACCUGGCAGCACCAAUGAUCAGCCAUGCCGCGUGCAGGAAGACUGCCCUAUGGGUUGUAAACUGCUUUUAUACAGGAAGAAACACCUCUACGUGUAGAGGCUUGACGGUACUGUAAGAAUAAGGAUCGGCUAACUCCGUGCCAGCAGCCGCGGUAAUACGGAGGAUCCAAGCGUUAUCCGGAAUCAUUGGGUUUAAAGGGUCCGUAGGUGGAUAAUUAAGUCAGAGGUGAAAGUCUGCAGCUCAACUGUAGAAUUGCCUUUGAUACUGGUUAUCUUGAAUUAUUAUGAAGUAGUUAGAAUAUGUAGUGUAGCGGUGAAAUGCAUAGAUAUUACAUAGAAUACCAAUUGCGAAGGCAGAUUACUAAUAAUCAAUUGACACUGAUGGACGAAAGCGUAGGUAGCGAAUGGGAUUAGAUACCCCCUGUAGUACA
RNAcentral lists this ribosomal RNA (433 nucleotides) under uncultured bacterium. RNAcentral's name for it is "bacterial SSU rRNA". It matches the Rfam family "Bacterial small subunit ribosomal RNA", at positions 359 to 797 of the family's 1533-position model. The record is from RNAcentral.